Molecule: long non-coding RNA, 3265 nt
Organism: Macaca mulatta (Rhesus monkey)
Lineage: Eukaryota; Metazoa; Chordata; Mammalia; Primates; Cercopithecidae
Source: Ensembl
AUGAGCCACUGCACCCAGCCCUAUGUUAUUUUAUCCCUCUCGUCUGUGGCAUUUUGUUAUGGUAGCCUGAGCAGACUAAUUAAUAUACCUUUCCCUUUCCGUAGAGGAUACAGUCAUUCAAGAAUCCACUCACCCUGCCUAGAACAGAUGAAUGACAGACUAGAAGACACUGGAUUGGAUCAAGAAAUUGGAGGGAUCAAUUCCAUCAUUGAUCAAAAAAGAAAAGAAAAGGCAUGGAAAUGUGUGCCAAUCAGAAAGCAGGAACAAACGUAUAUAACUGAUGAUGACUUUAGUGCUAUGCAUGCAGUACUCCACUAGACAAAAAUGAAAAUACAUUGAAUACCAGAUGACAAGGUAAGUUAACGGAGGUCCUUCUCAGUGGGAAGGGAUUAACUUUUUCUUCUGAAGACCCAGAGUGAUGACUGUUUUGACUCCUGGUAUCAAAACAAACAAACUGAAUAAAAGGGUCAAAGUAUUAAAUAUGUACUCAUUUCACAUUCUCUAAACUGUUAAGUUCAUGUAAGAGAACUUUGGCCAUAAUUUGAAUCUGAAGGACACUACUGCAGUUUAAAUAUUUUUCAAUCCUUCAGUAAAUGAUAAUAUUCAAGUAAUUACGUGCCUUUCUUUUCAAAGAUAGUGCUUGCACUUUGUAAGUGUCCAACGGUAUGAUUUCCUAUGAGAUACACAAGAGAUUAUCAUUACUAUUAACAGACACCAUCCUCAUAUGUAGGUGCAUAGAGCCACACUUUGAUGUUUGACCUGAAGGAGAACAAAAAAAUGAAUAAAUAAAUUUUAGAAUGUUUAUUUUGUCUUCAAAAUUUAUGUAAAGCUGUUUUGGUGGGAUGUUGUUUGAAGCAUCACAAGAUCUCUUCUGCUCUAGUUUGCCAUUUUCCUACCUCCAACACUUAUAUUUGCUUAUUCAUACAGUGAAAUUUUUAUAAAUUUAAGAGUAGCCAAAACACAAUGGCAAAUAUUUCCAAGGUAACUUGUCUGGUUUUCUCAUAAAGGUAUAUUACUAUGAAGUCUUCACAUUACAACCAUACUGCCACUGAAUAUAGCAUUUAAAGUGAAAUAUAUAAAAAGAGAUUGCCAUUCUAAUUUCAAUAAAAUUGAUAUAUAAGAAAUAAAUAUAAAAGAAGCUUUUGACAAAGCUGAAUAAAUAAAAGAUUUUGAAGAAAGCUGUUUCUAUGUAAUAUAAAAUUAAUUAUGAAGCCAUUUCAUAAACAUAUCUCAUAAUAGCAGCCACAUGGCUUCUUAAUUAGAAUAUAAAACAUUAACAUAUUAAUAAUUUUAAAAAUUAUUAGCUCUCUAAUUGCAAAAACUGUAAAUAAAGAUCGGCAUUUUUAUGUUUCACAUUGUUUUUAAAACGCUGAUAAACAUUAUAUUUUAACAGAAAGGUCUGUAUACAAAAUAUCUUAAAACAUGCAAAGUUUGCAUAUUGAAAUAACUUUUCAGGAAAUACAUUUUGUAUUCAAAUCAUGAAUGCCUUCUGUGGCCUUAGUGUCAAUAUCUUUAAGCAUUUCUUGAGUUGAUUUAUAUUUUUAACACAAAUUUAUUCUGAAACAUAUAUAAUACUUGUAUAAAAUUUUGAACAACUUACUUGAAAACACUCUUGUCGCAUCACUUACUUCCAGCUGUUAACAAAAUAAGUAAUGAACUUGAAAUUGCAUCAGCCAGUAUAAUAAAUGUACUAUACCGAAAAGGUUACCUUGUUUGAAUAAAAAAAAUUGUUAUAAAAUAUGUUGGUGCACAAUUCUGGACCUAAAUUUGUACAUACAAAUAUUAAUGGUAAUGAUUUUAAGUGCAAAAAGACAAAGCUCGUAACAGAAGUUGAUGAAGGACAUAAGACAUUUCAUGUAAUGAUUUUCAUAAUAAAGUCUUAUUUUUACGCUGAUUUACUAAUUUAUCAUACAAAUUUGGAAAAAUCUUACACUGUGCACAUGUGUCAUUUAUUUUAAAAAUGAAUAAAAACUGCUGAAGAAAAUUUAAUUAGGGUAAUGACAUAUUGACACCUAAAUUCUCACACAUUCAAUAUUAAAUCUUAAUUACUAUUGUUAAAUUAUGAAAUAAAUACUGUGUUUUUUGCUAAUAUUUGAUUUUCCUUUAUAUAUUUUCCUUAUUUAUUCAAUGUUGUGUUUCCUCAGAAGAUAAUUUAAGAAUGUAAAAUUCAACACAUUUUGUGACAGGGAAUUGUUUGGUUUAUUCUACACUGUAAGCUGCAUGUAUACUUGAUAGUUAUAUAAAAUUAUACCUUUUGAGAUGGAGGAAUCAAAAUAUCUUAUUUUUUAACACUUAAAAUAAAACACACAUAAUUGAUCCCUAUAAAAGAAACACUAGAGCAAUGAAUAAUAAAUCAAUGUUUUCUUGUUUUUGGAAAACAAGAAAAUAAGGUUAAACAUCUUUUUAAUCCUUGCACAAAUAUUUUCAUUUCAUUUGAUACAUAGUAUAGUGUUAAACUCAUUUGUUAACACAUAAUGAUUUUUUCCUCUAAUUCAAAAAUGAUUUUUCAUAUAUACAGAAGUAAUAUCUGCUUUAAAAAUGUAUAUUACUAAAUAUAAUAUAAUGUUGAAAUAUCAGUAUAUUUAAUAUACACUGGAACCUCAAAACCUGAGACAUAUUUCAGUCUUCAUAUGUUUUCUUGUCAACUUAUGGGACACCUUUCCAGUUAUAUAAUUUUUAUUAUAAGAUGCUUCUAAAUAUAAUAACUUAUUUGAUAUAGCUUAUAUAUAUAUCAAAGCAUAUUUAUAAUGUAAACAAAUUAAAACAAGCAUAUAAAUAUGUAAUAUAUCAUAAAACACUUCAAAGAGGCAAAUUCUAAUAACACAUAAGAUUAAUAUGGUUAUAAAAUAUUACACUGAUGAUAAAGGACUUUUUUGAGAAAUCAAUAAUUGUCUAAUGAGAAUCAAGAAUUGAAAUAUGUCAUCAAUGGUUUUUCUAAAAACAUACUUUCUGAAACUUAUUUGCCAAACAUUAUGUUAACUGCUAAGCAGCAACUAAAAAUAUAUAUUGUCUGCUCCUCAGGAGCAUAAAAACAAAGGGACUAAGUAUUUACAGGCAUACACAAGCAUUUUGAAAGGGCCAUGCUACAUACCAAAAGCAUCAUAAAUGCGUUUUGUUGAAGAAUUAUGAUAGUAAUGCUAUUGUGUUUGAAAACAUAAUCUAAUGAUUAAACCACAAUUUGAUUUAGCAAAAAAAUAAAUAAAUAAAAUAAAUGGACGAUUCAUUGUCUAGAAACACAUACAGUAUUUUUUCAAUUAUUUAAGCA